RNAcentral lists this ribosomal RNA (395 nucleotides) under uncultured bacterium. RNAcentral describes it as "bacterial SSU rRNA". It matches the Rfam family "Bacterial small subunit ribosomal RNA", at positions 32 to 405 of the family's 1533-position model. The record is from RNAcentral.
AAUCAACGCUGGCGGCGUGCCUAACACAUGCAAGUCGAGCGGGAAAGGGGGCUUCGGUCCCUGAGUAUAGCGGCGGACGGGUGAGUAACACGUGGGUAAUUUGCCCUUGGGUGUGGAAUAACUCAGGGAAACUUGAGCUAAUACCGCAUGACAUCCCCUUCACACACGAGUUGGGGAUCAAAGCCGGGGACCCUUCGGGGCCUGGCGCCUGAGGAGAAGCCCGCGCCCGAUUAGCUAGUUGGGAGGUAAUGGCCCACCAAGGCUUCGAUCGGUAGCCGGCCUGAGAGGGCGGACGGCCACACUGGGACUGAGACACGGCCCAGACUCCUACGGGGAGGCAGCAGUGGGGAAUUUUUGUCAAUGGGGGAAACCCUGAACAAGCAACGCCGCGUGGA